This 486-nucleotide ribosomal RNA is filed under the name Phylloscopus sibilatrix. Its description in RNAcentral is "partial 16S ribosomal RNA". It matches the Rfam family "Bacterial large subunit ribosomal RNA", at positions 1923 to 2568 of the family's 2925-position model. The record is from RNAcentral. Lineage: Eukaryota; Metazoa; Chordata; Aves; Passeriformes; Phylloscopidae.
UUUAACGGCCGCGGUAUCCUAACCGUGCAAAGGUAGCGCAUUCUAUUGUCCCAUAAAUCGGGACCUGUAUGAAUGGCUAAACGAGGUCUUAACUGUCUCUUACAGGCAAUCGGUGAAAUUGAUCUCCCUGUGCGAAAGCAGGGAUGCACACAUAAGACGAGAAGACCCUGUGGAACUUCAAAAACAGCAACCACCCCAACAUACAUCCACCCCCACCUCGGGCUCACUUACCCCACGGGCCAUUGGUUUGCAUUUUUUCGGUUGGGGCGACCUUGGAGCAAAACAAAACCUCCAAAAACUGGACCAAACCUCUAGACUAAGAGCGACCCCUCAACGUGCUAAUAGCACCCAGACCCAAUAUAAUUGAUCAAUGGACCAAGCUACCCCAGGGAUAACAGCGCAAUCUCCUCCAAGAGUCCAUAUCGACGGGGAGGUUUACGACCUCGAUGUUGGAUCAGGACAUCCUAGUGGUGCAGCCGCUACUAA